UAAAAAUGCUGGCAUAGAAGACUUAGCAUAUGUACCUAUUGAAAAGUUACACCAACUGAAGUUUGUUUGUGGUGGGCACUUCACUCCUGAAUCCUUCAAUGCCAAAGGAACUCGGCUGAAGAACUCAGCUAUUCCAACACUGGAAUUGAGCAAUCCCAUCUUGCCAGAUGAAGUUUUGACAGAGUUUCCUCUUCAUGUAAAAGACUCCAAUAAAGAAAACCUCAAGACAGUUCUUUAUGAUCAUUCAUAUUGCAUUCCAAAGAAGUCAAAUCCAGUUGAACGAGUUCCCCUUACAACUACAACCAAACAACUAAAUUCAACAUGUUUGGGAGCUGUGCAUGUAUGGAUAUACCAGAUUCUGGUAUUUCUGC
Long non-coding RNA from Ostrinia nubilalis (European corn borer), 371 nucleotides. RefSeq lists it as uncharacterized. The transcript has 3 exons. The record is from RefSeq and is a predicted model, not a curated record. NCBI's taxonomy places the organism in Eukaryota, Metazoa, Arthropoda, Insecta, Lepidoptera, Crambidae.